RNAcentral lists this ribosomal RNA (429 nucleotides) under uncultured Glomus. RNAcentral describes it as "SSU rRNA". It matches the Rfam family "Eukaryotic small subunit ribosomal RNA", at positions 569 to 1007 of the family's 1831-position model. Lineage: Eukaryota; Fungi; Glomeromycota; Glomeromycetes; Glomerales; Glomeraceae. The record is from RNAcentral.
AGCAGCCGCGGUAAUUCCAGCUCCAAUAGCGUAUAUUAAAGUUGUUGCAGUUAAAAAGCUCGUAGUUGAAUUUCGGGGUCAGUAGGUUGGUCAUGCCACUGGUGUGUACUGGCCUCACUGAUUCCUCCUUCCUGAUGAGCCGUAAUGCCAUUAAUUUGGUGUUGCGAGGAAUCUGGACUGUUACUUUGAAAAAUUGAGUGUUUAAAGCAGGCUAACGCUUGAAUACAUUAGCAUGGAAUAAUGAAAUAGGACGUUCGAUCUUAUUUUGUGGUUUCUAAGAUUGACGUAAUGAUUAAUAGGGAUAGUUGGGGCAUUAGUAUUCAAUUGUCAGAGGUGAAAUUCUUGGAUUUAUUGAAGACUAACUACUGCGAAAGCAUUUGCCAAGGAUGUUUUCAUUAAUCAAGAACGAAAGUUAGGGAUCGAAGACGA